This 86-nucleotide transfer RNA is filed under the name Herpetosiphonaceae bacterium. Its description in RNAcentral is "tRNA-Leu". It matches the Rfam family "tRNA". Rfam says of the family: Transfer RNA (tRNA) molecules are approximately 80 nucleotides in length. The record is from RNAcentral. Lineage: Bacteria; Bacillati; Chloroflexota; Chloroflexia; Herpetosiphonales; Herpetosiphonaceae.
GCCGGGGUGGCGGAAUGGCAGACGCUGAGGUCUUAAAAAUCUCUGAGGGUAACCUCGUAUGGGUUCGACUCCCAUCCUCGGCACCA